Molecule: unclassified non-coding RNA, 2759 nt
Filed under: Hevea brasiliensis (rubber tree)
Lineage: Eukaryota; Viridiplantae; Streptophyta; Magnoliopsida; Malpighiales; Euphorbiaceae
Source: RNAcentral
AAAAAUACAUCAUUUUAAUUAUAUGAAUAUAAUAUGCUUACAAGACUUUUUCAAGUUUAUACACCACCAGAUUGGAACAAGAAGAAUUGCUUACCUCCUCUCUGUAUGAACCUCCUUCAACUUUUACAUUAAGUGUACCAAAUUGUGAGAUCAUUGAUGAGAUAAUGCACCUGAAACAGACCAAGUCUCACCACCACCAAGUGCGUAACCAAUUUAGAACUGCUCAAUCACCACUGAUGAUUAUUAACUCAUUUUUUGGAACUCUCCAAUAGCCCAUACCUAAUGUUAAACAAUUGAUGUCCAUGGGUCUAAUGCACCGAAGCUGCCAAUAUACCCAGUCCCAUCAUUCACCCUUUCCAGCAGUGAUCUAUACAUAUUUAAAAAUAGUAAAGACAUUAAUUCACAGAUAGCUUAACCAGAUAUGGUUUUUUCUUAGCAACUUUCUGAUGCAUGGCUGCACAAUUCAGAGACAACUUUGAUUAACCACCCCAUCAUCUCGUUGAAUGAGCUCUAAUAAGCUUCCAGCUUUUCUCUUGGCCCUAUCAGUGCCAUUGUCUGACAGUUCCUUUAGUGCUUCUUCUGCACCACACUUCUUUGCUAACUUCAACUGCUGUGAAUCACCAGCACAUAGUGACCACAGGACAGCUGCAGCAUUCUCACGGUUGCGUGGAGAACUGGUCCUAAUGACCUCCAUCAGAACAGGAAUUGGCUCAGCCUGUCCAAUUGCUACCUUCCCUUCUUGAUGGCUUGCAAGAAUAGCAAGAAUUGCCAAUGCCUCAUCAACCAUUCCACCUCCAGCAUCCUUGAGCAACUGCAUCAGAGGUGGCACAAUACCAGCCCUUACAGCUCUUGCCUUGUUUCCCUGAUAAAUUGAAAGAUUAAAAAUGGCAGUGGCAGCAUCCUUCUUUCCUCUUGGAGUCCCCUCGCGGAGCAAAUCUAUAAGUGCUGGGAUGGCCCCAGCUGCUCCUAUUGACACCUUAUUCUCAUCAAUAACGGAUAAACUGAAAAGGGUUGCAGCUGCAUUUUCCCUUGCCUCCAUGCUUCCAUUUCUUAACACGUCUACUAUAUCAGGUAUAGCUCCCACUUUAACAAUGGUUCCCUUGUUACUAUCAUUUAUGGAAAGGUUUAAAAGCGCUGUAACAGCAUGCUCUUGUGUACGAGGAUCUGUGGAGCAUAAAAGCUCUACAAGAAGUGGAAUGGCUCCUGCUUCUGCAAUGCAUACUCUGUUAUCCGCAUUCCUCUUCGCCAGUAAACGAAGCUCUCCAGCAGCUGCUCUUUGUUGUUCUAGAUUCCCAUUUGCCAAUUUCUCUAACAAGGCAACAAUAGCAAUUCGAUCACAGUCAGAAACACUGCUUCCAACUUUUUUGUUUCUACAAGACCCUUGGUGUUUCGGCAGCUCAACACCAUUUUUUUCACACCACAAAGCAAUCAAACUCUUCAAAACAUAGUUAGGUGUUAGUGCAGUAUGCGACAGAGUCUGUUGUGUUUUUGGGCAAGUCUUGUGUCCUGCAUCCAGCCAUUUUUGGAUGCAUAAUCUUUCAUAGGUCUGCCCAGUAGAGACUAUCACUGGAUCUUUCAUCAGUUCUAGAGAUAUUGGGCAGCGGAAAUCAUCUGGAAUAACGGGAGACCGGUGCUUAAUUAAACCAUUUUCGGACUCAGAAUUAUCAGCUUGAGGGUUUUCCAUUUGAACAUAAUCUUUUAAUUUCUUGAGGAUGGCUGACACCUUCUGCAACCAGUCUCCUCGAUCGCCAUCACUUGAGAUAACCAACUCAUGGAAAGCAAGAGACUCUUUCUUUAAAUCACUGAUAGUCUUGAGUUCCAGCUUUUCAGAAAGCCUCUUCAAUACUGCAGGAUCAGGGUCUUUUUCUCUCUGUGCUAAGGCUAAAUCAAGGUCUAGUUGUGAAUCAGGGGAGUCUGGUCUUUCUUUAGCCCUUCUGAGUUGAGCAUGCACAAGUUCAAUCUGUUCUUGAACUUCCUCUGAUAAAUCAAGUUUAUCAUAAGGAAUCUCACUUAAUGCUGCUUCAAUUUGUUCCGUAAUUUGGCAAAACUUAUGUGCUAAUUUGUCCCUUUGCAUGGCCUGAUACAACUUGCUUCCCUCAUUGGCCGAUUUGAGAAGUCCCAUGGCCGAAUCUAAAGCAAUUCUCAAUAACUCAAAGCCAUUAAUUGCUUCUUCGCCUAGCUCUUCAUUGCUAUCUCUUAGCUCCUCAAACAAAGGGCUCAAGAGCUUGAUUCUACGAAUCAAAUUCCCAUGCAUCUUCCUGCAUAUAUUUUUACAUUCAGGUAACCCACAAAUCUCCUUCACUGAGUCAAUGAGUCGACCCAUCAUCUUGGAUUUUGGAUCCUCCUCCUUUAGAGCCAUGUGGAUAAGCCUAAUUCAGCUAUAAACAGAGCCCCCAAAAAAUAUUUACUAAAUAAUACAAAACUCUAAAAAAUUCAGCUAGUAUCCCUUCCUAGACUUUUUUCCCCCUCUUUAUUACACUUUCUUUUCAUCCAAGCACUCGCAAUCCACCGCGACCUCCAUCUUACUCAUUUGGGUUUUUCUUAUUUCUCUACUAUAUUCAAUCUACAACAACAAUAAAACAAAAAACUCAAUUUUUUUCCAUGGUUUCACCGCAAUUUCCCAUCAACCAAACACAUGGGUAAAUUACACCACCAUGAAAAGAUUUUAACCCAACCAACAAACGACCAAUAAUUUCCUCACACAGGUUUCAAUUACAAUUCAAAUCACAAAAGAUUAAUGUCAAUCCCGCAACAAUUCA